GCUUACGGUCACACUACCCUGCGAACGCCCGAUCUCGUCUGAUCUCGGAAGCUAAGCAGGGUUUGGCCUGGUUAGUACUUGGAUGGGAGACCACCUGGGAAUACCAGGUGCUGUAAGCU
This 119-nucleotide ribosomal RNA is filed under the name Astyanax mexicanus (Mexican tetra). The record is from RNAcentral. Lineage: Eukaryota; Metazoa; Chordata; Actinopteri; Characiformes; Acestrorhamphidae.